UUAGAUACCCUGGUAGUCCAUGCCGUAAACGAUGAGUGCUAGGUGUUGGAGGGUUUCCGCCCUUCAGUGCCGGAGCUAACGCAUUAAGCACUCCGCCUGGGGAGUACGACCGCAAGGUUGAAACUCAAAGGAAUUGACGGGGGCCCGCACAAGCGGUGGAGCAUGUGGUUUAAUUCGAAGCUACGCGAAGAACCUUACCAGGUCUUGACAUCUUGCGCUAACCUUAGAGAUAAAGCGUUCCCUUCGGGGACGCAAUGACAGGUGGUGCAUGGUCGUCGUCAGCUCGUGUCGUGAGAUGUUGGGUUAAGUCCCGCAACGAGCGCAACCCUUGUUACUAGUUGCCAGCAUUAAGUUGGGCACUCUAGUGAGACUGCCGGUGACAAAUCGGA
RNAcentral lists this ribosomal RNA (389 nucleotides) under uncultured bacterium. RNAcentral describes it as "bacterial SSU rRNA". It matches the Rfam family "Bacterial small subunit ribosomal RNA", at positions 778 to 1167 of the family's 1533-position model. The record is from RNAcentral.